GGAUGUGGGCAGGGAGGGAAGCAGGCUUGGAGGGUUAAUUUACCCACAGAAUGUGAUAGUAAUAGGGGAGGGAGCCUGAGCCUGGGCUGGAGCCUUCUCCCCUCCCCAGUUGGACUAGGGGCAGUGUUAAUUUUGAAAAGGUGUGGGUCCCUGUGUCCUCUUCCAGGGGUCCAAGGGAACGGGAGAGGUCACUGGGCCUGUUUUCUCCCUCCUGACCCUGCAUCUCCCACCCCGUGUAUCAUAGGGAACUUUCACCUUAAAAUCUUUCUAAGCAAAGUGUGAAUAGGAUUUUUACUCCCUUUGUACAGUAUUCUGAGAAACGCAAAUAAAAGGGCAACAUGUUUCUGUU
RNAcentral lists this long non-coding RNA (349 nucleotides) under Homo sapiens (human). RNAcentral's name for it is "non-protein coding lnc-GSDMB-1:1". Lineage: Eukaryota; Metazoa; Chordata; Mammalia; Primates; Hominidae. The record is from RNAcentral.